CUACGGGAGGCAGCAGUAGGGAAUCUUGCGCAAUGGGCGAAAGCCUGACGCAGCCAUGCCGCGUGUGUGAAGAAGGCCUUAGGGUUGUAAAGCACUUUCAAUUGGGAAGAAAAGCUUGUCGUUAAUAGCGUCAAGCCCUGACAUUACCUUUAGAAGAAGCACCGGCUAACUCCGUGCCAGCAGCCGCGGUAAUACGGAGGGUGCGAGCGUUAAUCGGAAUUACUGGGCGUAAAGCGCGCGUAGGCGGUUUGUUAAGUCGGAUGUGAAAUCCCCGGGCUCAACCUGGGACCUGCACCCGAUACUGGCCGACUAGAGUACGAGAGAGGGAGGUAGAAUUCCAUGUGUAGCGGUGAAAUGCGUAGAUAUAUGGAGGAAUACCAGUGGCGAAGGCGGCCUCCUGGCUCGAUACUGACGCUGAGGUGCGAAAGCGUGGGGAGCAAACAGGAUUAGAAACCCGAGUAGUCC
RNAcentral lists this ribosomal RNA (465 nucleotides) under uncultured bacterium. RNAcentral's name for it is "bacterial SSU rRNA". It matches the Rfam family "Bacterial small subunit ribosomal RNA", at positions 339 to 796 of the family's 1533-position model. The record is from RNAcentral.